This 453-nucleotide ribosomal RNA is filed under the name uncultured bacterium. RNAcentral's name for it is "bacterial SSU rRNA". It matches the Rfam family "Bacterial small subunit ribosomal RNA", at positions 340 to 786 of the family's 1533-position model. The record is from RNAcentral.
UACGGGAGGCAGCAGUGGGGAAUAUUGCACAAUGGGCGCAAGCCUGAUGCAGCCGUGCCGCGUGUAUGAAGAAGGCCUUCGGGUUGUAAAGUACUUUCAGUCGUGAGGAAGGUGUUAAGGUUAAUAACCUUAGCAAUUGACGUUAGCGACAGAAGAAGCACCGGCUAACUCCGUGCCAGCAGCCGCGGUAAUACGGAGGGUGCGAGCGUUAAUCGGAAUUACUGGGCGUAAAGGGCACGCAGGCGGUUAAUUAAGUUGGAUGUGAAAUCCCCGGGCUUAACCUGGGAAUGGCAUUCAAGACUGGUUAGCUAGAGUCUUGUAGAGGGGGUAGAAUUCCAUGUGUAGCGGUGAAAUGCGUAGAGAUGUGGAGGAAUACCGGUGGCGAAGGCGGCCCCUGGACAAAGACUGACGCUCAUGUGCGAAAGCGUGGGGAGCAAACAGGGAUUAGAUACC